GUAGGUCACAAGCGUUGUCCGGAAUUACUGGGUGUAAAGGGAGCGCAGGCGGGAAGACAAGUUGGAAGUGAAAUCUAUGGGCUCAACCCAUAAACUGCUUUCAAAACUGUUUUUCUUGAGUAGUGCAGAGGUAGGCGGAAUUCCCGGUGUAGCGGUGGAAUGCGUAGAUAUCGGGAGGAACACCAGUGGCGAAGGCGGCCUACUGGGCACCAACUGACGCUGAGGCUCGAAAGUGUGGGUAGCAAACAGGAUUAGAUACCCUGGUAGUCCACACCGUAAACGAUGAUUACUAGGUGUUGGAGGAUUGACCCCUUCAGUGCCGCAGUUAACACAAUAAGUAAUCCACCUGGGGAGUACGACCGCAAGGUUGAAACUCAAAGGAAUUGACGG
Molecule: ribosomal RNA, 390 nt
Filed under: uncultured bacterium
Lineage: Bacteria
Description: bacterial SSU rRNA
Rfam family: Bacterial small subunit ribosomal RNA
Source: RNAcentral